Molecule: long non-coding RNA, 3808 nt
Filed under: Fragaria vesca (wild strawberry)
Lineage: Eukaryota; Viridiplantae; Streptophyta; Magnoliopsida; Rosales; Rosaceae
Description: long non-coding RNA (FVES_LNC003129)
Source: RNAcentral
AAAAAAAGCAAAGGAGAGAGAAACUUAUACAACACAGGUAAGGCAAUAUGAUUCUAUUCUACGGGAUUCUAACAUAAAGUUGUUAACACUACUGAAUCCUCCUAUGUGCACCCAUUCAGCAGCUAUUUUCACAGAUAAGUCCCUACCUCGUUGGUUUGUGAAAGUUCAUAAUAUUGAUGCCAUGAUUUCGUCCUAGUUGCAAGUCAACCUGUAUGUAUAUGAGUAUGCAUGCUAGUCAGUAGGUUUUGGCAUUAGACCUAGAGGCAUAAGUUAUUAAAAUCCCGAGUAAUAUCAAGCGGGAUAGGCAUUAGACCGAGAGGCAUAAGUCAUUAACAUCCCGAAUAAUAUCAAGCGGGAUAGGCAUUUGACAGAGAGAUUGGCAUUUGACAUUCAGUAUUACACAAUUGCAUGAAUCAAUACUUGGUUGGCCCCAUAAUUGUGUUGAUCAACUAAACUAUGUAAGCUGCUAAUCGCUCAUUUGUUAUGAAGGUACAAAAAUCCUCGCCCGGCCGAAUAAGUUUUGAGGCCGGGAGUCGGGAGGGGCAUUUUUUUGUCUUAUCGGCGGACUUGGGGGGACUGGGGCCGGGUGCCCGUUAAUAAAUGACUAGUCUAUGGGCAUUUUAUAUAUCAAGUCCCCACUCAAGACGCGUCUUGAACGGGAACUUGGGGGGACUUGUAGUCGGACUGAGAAUAACUACCCUCAGUAAUUACAUUCAACCACAAAAUACUGACUUAAGUUUCAGAAAAGGAAAGACCGGAAGCCCCCGGUCCCCUUGUUAUUGCAGGUCAGCGAGGAGAUAGCAGAUCAUCCACCAGACACACCAUCAGCUUCUGCGAACCCGUCCGGGAUUGUACAGAAACAGAAAACAAGGAGCCAGCUUAUUGUACUUCCUAUAUAUCUUCGAGUAGUGCCACAGUAUAACACCUGAAAACAAAAAUAAUGAACACAGAUAUAUCAAUCAAGACCACUUCUGAUAUAAUUAAGGUGAACAUGAAAAUGAUAAUAAUUAGAAAAUUAGUAUAAGCACUUCAGUGAAUAUUGUUCCCUCAAAUCAAACUGGACUUCAAAUAUACCACAGAAAAAAAAGGAUUCAGUGGCAUGAAACAAGAUACAGCCACCCCACAAUUACAACUGCAUGUAUCAAUAAAUUGACAAUUCUUGCAUACCAACAGUAGUUAAGAGUAAAAUACAUCAAAGGUACUAUACUGGUGCAUACUUUCCGUAAAAACAUUGUAUUCACUUCUUUGCAUCCUAACAGGCUAGGCGAGUGCUUUUACCCAAUUUGCAAAACCUUUCAAAUUGAUAUGCUGCAGAGUUUGUAAUUUACUUGAACUCUGGAAUAAUAAUAAUGAAAGAUGACACGACCCACCCCGAAUUUCACCCUGAAACCCAGAGUAAGUCGUGCGGGGACCAUCUCCAAGGAAAAUUUACUGAAAAGAUUAAGCAAAUCUCCUUGCAGAUGGACAACCCUAAGUCGAAAAUUUCAUAUUACACUCUUAAUUUAACGCUUCUAAAUAUCACAUAAUAUACAAAAAUUCUAAAGUAUUCAGAGCUACUAAACACAAGCGGAAGCAAGAAAACACAAGUAGGUUGUACAGGUAACCUACUGAUGAAAACUGGCCGAAAAGCGGGUGACUAUGCCUCGUCUCCUACUAGAUCCAACCCGAACUCUGCAGACUGGGCAAUUUAAAACGAAGGGCCCAGGGGAAAACAUUUAAUAACGUUAGAGUGAGUGGACAAAAAUAAAUUAAUAAUUAAAAUAUUUAUGUUUCCCCAAAUUAAUUUCUAAGGAAAAAUCGAAUGCCUGCCGCAAGCGAUAAAACCUUUAUCCCAUAAAUAUCGAGCCUCUCAGACUCUAUAAUAUAUGUAUGUAUUUACAUCGUCCAUACUCCCUAUAUAAUUCAUGGGUCUAUAUAGGGCUACUACGCUCGCGUCCAACGCUCACGUCNCGCCUAAUGCGGUGCUACACUACGCCAUCAAGGUGGACAGACGGUGUAUUAAAUACUCGUCGACCCACUACCCCUAUAUGAAUUAAACACUCAUAGUAGGGCUACUACGCUUACGUCCAACGCUCACGUCACACCAUAAUGCGGCUAUAUGCUACGCCAUUAAGGUGGACAGACACAUAUGGCUAGCUAGCAUUUUCUAUACAUACUCUCUCAUAAAUACAUAUUUAUAUUCACCGAAAAUCCCAUUUUCGGUAACUCUCUCUCAGAGAAAUAAAAGCGUCAAAAUUAAUUGACGGUAAAACUCCAACAAAAGGAAAUGUUCAAUCAUGAACCAUAGCAUGCAUAUUACUUCAAAUAAAAGUCCACUCACGAAUUAGGCCUAAGCCUGAUGUCAAUCUGGGGUCUCGUCUACUCGAGCCUCUUCACGUCCUGUUCCAAAUAUAAUAUUAAUUUCCCAACCAAUAUCCAAUAUUUAAUCAAAAUAGGCAAAAUUACCCGAGAGCCAUAAUUACGCUCAUCAUUGCCUAACUUCGAUAUUCUUACAUCGGAAUAAUCCGAACUUAAAUAUCAUACUCAACAGUCGUAAAUACAACCUCUCUAAAAUACGACUUAAAUCCAACGGCCGGAUUCUACAUUAAUUAACCGCCAAAAAUACCAAACUUCGGAAAUUCACAAACCUAUCCAAAUCUCAUCCAAAAAUUCCAUAAUUCACUUCAAUAAUAUCCCCUUAAUAUUCUACAUCAAAAACCAUAAAAUUUCCCAAAACAGCGGCGGCUCCGCCGGCAGCGGCGGCCGGCGACCAACUCCGGCAACCUGCAAAUGCCACCAAAUUUUAACAGAAUCUUCCUCUCAAUCUCCUCUACAACUUUCAUGACCAACACAAACUCCAAUUCUAAGCCUAACCAUGUCAAUCGAACACAAACAACCAUAAAUCCCUAAAACUUUCAAUUAUACAAACCACCCUAACGAAAUCGAAUUAAGCCGAAACCUUUUGAGGGAUUACUCACCUAGAUGAGGGCUACAAGUUGAGCCAAAAAUCACGACCUAUGGUGGCCGGAGGACGGAGCUCCGGCGAAAACACAGUCGGCGGUUCCGGCGGCUUUUUCUCCUCUCCGGCGGGUUAGAGGCUCGGGGGCUAGGCCGGGGAGGGAGAGGAGGUGACGGGGGUCCGAUCUGGGCUGGAGCGGCGGCAGCUGGUGGCCGGACGGCGGCGGGAGGACGGCCGGAAGUCUGCUGGGUGUAGAGAGAAAAAACUCGGGUGGGAAGAGAAGAAAAAUCGGGAGGAAGAGAGAGAGAAAGGAAGAAGAAAUGGGUUGGGCUCGGCCCAGCCGACCCAACUCUCCUUUUAAUCCAAAAUUCAACACCCCGAAAAAUAAUACCCGAAUAAAAAUUACCUUUUACUAGCUAAAAUUUACUAUUUUUACCGUCGUCGUAUUUUCUUCAUACUAAUAAUCCUCCGCACAUAAUCGUCCCCGAAACCCCUCUAGGGACCAAUUAAACUAUUUACUCAAUGACGGAGACGGUAAAAUUCUUAUUAUAAUCACGCUAGUAAAUAAGGUAAAAAUAUAAGGGUCGGGAUGUGACAAAAGAUUUAGGAUUGCAUUCCUAAAAGUGUGGGGCUUUGAUGUUGGUGUUUUUGAUAAAUCAAAGACUAGGAGACUUUUCUUCUCAGAUUGAAAAACAAAACUGGGCCGGCCUGGUGGUUUAGAUUUGUUUUAGUGGGGACUGGGGAGUGUAUGUGACCUUUCACUGUUACGAGAGGGUACCAAAAGAUACUGAGCUCAGCCAUUUGAUAUUAUCCUAUAGUUUGCAUUAUACAGCUAAGCUUCAGUAGCCAGAUAGGGAUUUAAGAUUGUGA